Molecule: unclassified non-coding RNA, 397 nt
Filed under: Athalia rosae (coleseed sawfly)
Lineage: Eukaryota; Metazoa; Arthropoda; Insecta; Hymenoptera; Athaliidae
Description: misc RNA ENSAEAG00005009678.1
Source: RNAcentral
UACGUUUGUUCCACGGUAUAUGCGACAAAUUUCCGGCUAAAUUUAAAUGUUUUGAAAAAAUACCGGAAUGGAGCCGGAUCCAUCCGAGUGUCAUGAAACGGUGAAUUGCGAACGUGAAAUUCGGCAUUCGGACAUCGGAGCGUCUCGUACGUAGAUCCUUCUUUUCCGAAGCAACGGCAGUAUGGCCGCAGCUGCCGAAGCGACGUCGUCGGGAGCGACAUCGAUGGCUAUCGCGUACAUCCUUGGAGAGGAGGAAGAACAAGCUGAAGAGGAGAGAGAGAAAGAUGGAGAUACAUUGAGAUUUAUGCUUGACAGGCAUCAAGUUUGCCUAGUUCUUCGCGAUACGGUUCAACUUUCAACUACUGUACGCACGUUGUGCUGAAAAAUUCAUCUACAG